AUGGGGGAUGUUAGCUGGGAAGGGGCUCUUAGGGAGCAGUGGAUCUACGACAGGGACCAUAGCUCGUGCAUCACUCUGAUGCCGAGUGUAAAAGGAGAUGGAAAAUGUCCACCGUCCACUGCCUGGGGAGGAAACCAGGCUGCUCUCCAUGGGGUGUGAGGUCAUUGGGCAAAAGUCACCACGACAUGAAACGAGAAGGUCUGGGCGUGUGGAGAGAUCGCGGAAGAGGUAGUGAGAAAGCUGAUUUACAGCUCAUCAAUCCCAGACCCAAGGGUCCAGGACUCAAGACGAGGAGUCUUCCGGGAAGUUUUGGAGGUGGGUCUGGAGAACAGAUUCAGCCUCCAGAAGCUAUCCCCCUUCCCGCUCCAUCUUCCCUCUAAGGACGCCUUCUGGAAUGGAGACUGCUGUGCGUGGCACACAGUGGACAUCCAGUAAACACGUAUUGAAUGGAUAUUAAUUCAGAGAGACUUCCGGCACUGUCACUGCACGCCCAGCCUCGCUGUUACACAUCCCACACCACCCAAGGCUUCAUUGUCCCGUUCUGAAGAAUUCCUGACCCGGAUCAGCGCAGAACUCACCAACGAGGCCUUGUUGGUCGCUGGCUACCCCGUGAACAACGUGCCCACCAAGGAGAAACAGACACAAGACCAAGGGACUCAGCUGUCCAAACACGUGUUCUUCACCAACACCCGAGGAACUGACACCCGCUCUGACAGAAACCGUACCCGCAGCAAGGCACACCUCCUGCCAUCCCCUCGUGACAAGGGAGCUCUGCCCGGCAGCUUGACGUCUGGAGGAUGAGCCAGCCCUUAGGUACUGCCCUGGGCCUCUCCUGCCCACCUCCAUUCUCUCUCUCUCUAGAACAUGCCUCAGAGCUCCUCUGUCACAACUCAUUAGUCCCUUCAGUUUGUGGGGGACUCCUGGUCAUGAGCGGCACCACCCCUGAAACCUCCAAAAUGUUCUGGAACCACCACACAUCUUUCACACCUCAGCUGGCAAGGAUACCAGCAGGAGACCAGGCUUAAAUAAAGAGACAGAGAUCCUUCCCUCCGGCCAACCCAGCCACUGCCGUGGUGUGACUUCUCUGGCAUGGAGACACGGGAGGAGUGGCUUUUUCCCUCCCCACCCCACCCCCAUGUGUGGGCAUAUUAUUAGAAUGGUUUUCACUCAGGCCGUUUCGUGUCAACCCGCUGGCAGAGGUGAGCUCACGGAUCCCAAGCCAGCCUCCUAGCCGAACUUCAGCACCUCAAGGUCUAGGCCUGUGGCAUCUGACAAGGGCCCACCUCUGCCACCAACAUCAGUGCUCAGGUCUCCGCUCUGAGCUGUGGGGUCCCAUGCUGAUGGGACCAUACCAUGUCCAUCACUAGGCAGAGGCUUUGGACAGUUGCAUUUACUUCCCAGCCUGGCCACUUACGGUAGCUCUCGGAGGGAGGGAGUUCACAUCUCUGAGCGUGUUUCCUUACCUGAAAAUGGGAAUAAUUGUCCCUGCCAUGUGGGGUCCUUGUGAAAGGUACAAACAUCAUGCACACAAAA
This is an RNA transcript of Rhinolophus ferrumequinum (greater horseshoe bat), 1533 nucleotides long. It is a transcript of the gene named putative protein T-ENOL, with no coding region annotated. The transcript has 5 exons. NCBI's taxonomy places the organism in Eukaryota, Metazoa, Chordata, Mammalia, Chiroptera, Rhinolophidae. The record is from RefSeq and is a predicted model, not a curated record.